CGAGGCGGCCGGACGGUCGCGCGCCGGCCGGGCGACCGGCGGGCGUGAGGAAAGUCCGAGCUCCCCAGCGCAGGGUGGCGGGUAACGCCCGUCCGCCGCGAGGCGAGGACCAGUGCCACAGUGACGAUGCCGGCCCCCCGGGGCCGGAGUGAAACGCGGCAAACUCCACCCGGAGCAAGGCCAAAUAGGAGGGCGCAACCCCGGUUCGCCGGGGGGAGAGGCGCGCUGCCCAGCCCUCGGGUCGGCUGCACGAGCCGUCGGGCAACCGGCGGCCUCAGAUGGAUGACCGUCGCCGUGGCGCGAGCCGCGGUACAGAACUCGGCUUACAGGCCGCCUCGCUGG
Non-coding RNA from Chloroflexi bacterium RBG_16_72_14, 342 nucleotides. The record is from Rfam. NCBI's taxonomy places the organism in Bacteria, Bacillati, Chloroflexota.